UUCCACAGCCAUACCAGCCUGAAAACACCCUAUCUUGGAAGCUAAGCAGGGUUGGGCCUGGUCAGUACCUGGAUAGGAGACCUCCUUGGAAUGCUGGGUGCUGUAAGCA
This 109-nucleotide ribosomal RNA is filed under the name Nothoprocta perdicaria. Lineage: Eukaryota; Metazoa; Chordata; Aves; Tinamiformes; Tinamidae. The record is from RNAcentral.